AUCGUUCUGGAUUUGCACCAGCUAGGAAAAAGCCUACUGGGGAACACCAUAGAGAUAGGAAAUCAGUGCGAUGUGGAUGUGAUGCGAAAAUGUAUUUAUCAAAGGAAGUUGUUGAAGGGGUUUCUCAAUGGUUUGUUGUGCAAUUUAGCAAUGUACAUAAUCAUGAACUUUUGGAAGAUGACCAAGUGCGGCUUCUUCCUGCUUACCGGAAAAUUCAUGAGGCAGAUCAGGAGAGAAUUCUGUUGCUUUCAAAAGCUGGGUUUCCAAUACAUCGCAUAGUGAAGGUGCUGGAGUUGGAAAAAGGGAUUCAGGGUGGACAACUGCCUUUUCUGGAGAGGGACGUAAGGAAUUUUGUUCAAAACCGGAAGAAAAUUGUUCAAGAGAAUGAUGCUUUGCUAACUGAAAAAAGAGAAAAUGAUACAAUGGAACUUCUUGAGGCAUGCAAGGCAAUGAAAGAGGUGGAUGAAGAUUUUAUUUAUGAUUAUACGGUUGAUGAGAAUGAUAAGAUUGAGAAC
Molecule: unclassified non-coding RNA, 515 nt
Filed under: Hevea brasiliensis (rubber tree)
Lineage: Eukaryota; Viridiplantae; Streptophyta; Magnoliopsida; Malpighiales; Euphorbiaceae
Source: RNAcentral